This is a long non-coding RNA of Heterocephalus glaber (naked mole-rat), 1019 nucleotides long. NCBI's taxonomy places the organism in Eukaryota, Metazoa, Chordata, Mammalia, Rodentia, Bathyergidae. The record is from Ensembl.
CGGGUUUUAGAGGAAAGUGGAAGGGCCUGUUUUGGGUAGACUGAGAAGGCUGCAGGAGGCAGCGACUUUGAAACCCAGACUCUGAGGAAGAAGAGGGGUGAGCGUUGCCACUGAAGGCAGGGUGGAGCAGAGGUUUCCUGUUGGAGGGAGGGGGCGAGGGAAGGCUCAGGGGAGGGGAGGAGCUUGAUUUGCUGUAGGAAUUGAAAGCCACCAGAGUGUCUGAAUCCUGUGGAGCAAGGAGAUGGUGACAGACGAGGCGGAGAGACAGCACAGGAACCUGGACGCCGCUUUUGCUGGAGAGUCUUCCUAUGUAGCCCAGGCUGGCCUCGAAUGCAGCAGUCCUCCUGCCUCAGCUUCCCAAAUGCUGGGAUCAGAGGCGUAUGCCCCCAUGCCGGCAUCUCUUCAUUUUCAAAUCAAGGAUAACAAUAACCACUACGGGACCAGGGAUUUAGCUCAGUGGUUUCGCCUCCUGCUGCACAAGCGCAAGGGCCCGAGUUCGAUCCCCGGUACCAAAAAAAACCCAAAAAACAGUAACCACUACAAUUGGCCUCUGCAUCAAUGGAUUCUGCAUCUGUAGAUUCAACUAACCAUAGAUGAGACAUUAAAAAUAUUGUAUCUUAAAAAAAAUUUUAAAAAUAUUGUAUCUGUACUGAACAUGAACCUGUCGUCAUCCCCUAAAUAAUAUAGCAAAACUACUGUUCACACAGCAUUUACAUGGUACUGUAAAUAAUCUGGAGACAAUUUCAAAUAUACAGGAGGAGUGCAUAUGCUAUAUGCAAAUACCGUGCCAUUUUUCAUAGGGGACUUGAGCAUCCUAGAUUUUGGUAUCCCAGGGGAUUUCAGAACCAACCCCUCAUAGAUACUGAGGAGCAGCUAUAUUGGGGAAAAGCAUUAUGUUUUACAAAUUAUUUUUGUAUAUUUACUUAGGUAUGCACAGAGUCCCAACUAUAUACUUGGCACUAUGGAAACACUGUGUCUAAAGAAGGAGACACAAUUCUUGCAUUUUUGGAAAUUCAGUC